Molecule: ribosomal RNA, 425 nt
Filed under: uncultured bacterium
Lineage: Bacteria
Description: bacterial SSU rRNA
Rfam family: Bacterial small subunit ribosomal RNA
Source: RNAcentral
UGGGGAAUAUUGGACAAUGGGCGCAAGCCUGAUCCAGCCAUGCCGCGUGAGUGAAGAAGGCCUUCGGGUUGUAAAGCUCUUUUGUCCGGAAAGAAAAGCCUUCGGUUAAUACCCGGGGGUGAUGACGGUACCGGAAGAAUAAGCACCGGCUAACUUCGUGCCAGCAGCCGCGGUAAUACGAAGGGUGCAAGCGUUACUCGGAAUUACUGGGCGGAAAGCGUGCGUAGGUGGUUCGUUAAGUCUGAUGUGAAAGCCCUGGGCUCAACCUGGGAAUGGCAUUGGAAACUGGCGACCUAGAGUGCGGUAGAGGGUAGUGGAAUUCCCGGUGUAGCGGUGAAAUGCGUAGAUAUCUGGAGGAACACCGGUGGCGAAGGCGGCAUCCUGGACCGACAUUGACGCUGAGGCGCGAAAGCCAGGGGAGCAAA